ACCAUGGCAACCAUCAGCUGAUUUACCAACAAAAUGUCACAUGAAUCAUUGGCUCAAGCUGAACGAAACAACAUAACUUAUGAGAUGAAAUCCUUAAGAAUGUGGGCGUGGUUAACAAAAAAACUCCAGGACUCAGGAUGUCUGGCAGAAAUCAAGGCUGGACAUCAAAGUAAAAGAUGUGUUUGAGAGGGAGGAUGAUUACAUCUCACAUCUUGACAGGACACAGACCUCUGAGGAACACAGAAUGAAGAUCACACAAUCCCAGGAAUUCAGCCGCUGAAACGUCUGAGGACCGUUGGGAUUUUCCAAUGAGUCUGUGUCAUUUACAUUCAUUUUUACAUACAAAGCAUGAAAACCCCUAAUAAUAAACGUAUUGCACGUCUA
Long non-coding RNA from Oryzias melastigma (Indian medaka), 384 nucleotides. RefSeq lists it as uncharacterized. The transcript has 2 exons. The record is from RefSeq and is a predicted model, not a curated record. NCBI's taxonomy places the organism in Eukaryota, Metazoa, Chordata, Actinopteri, Beloniformes, Adrianichthyidae.